UACGUAGGUGGCAAGCGUUGUCCGGAUUUACUGGGCGUAAAGCGUGUGUAGGCGGGCCCUUAAGUAGAGAGUGAAAGGUUGGAGCUCAACUCCGACACUGCUCUCUAUACUGGGGGUCUUGAGUGCCGGAGAGGAAGAUGGAACUGCACGUGUAGCGGUGAAAUGCGUUGAGAUGUGCAGGAACACCAAUGGCGAAGGCAAUCUUCUGGACGGAUACUGACGCUGAGACACGAAAGCCAAGGUAGCAAACAGG
RNAcentral lists this ribosomal RNA (253 nucleotides) under uncultured bacterium. RNAcentral's name for it is "partial 16S ribosomal RNA". It matches the Rfam family "Bacterial small subunit ribosomal RNA", at positions 524 to 776 of the family's 1533-position model. The record is from RNAcentral.